UACGUAGGGUGCGAGCGUUGUCCGGAUUUAUUGGGCGUAAAGAGCGUGUAGGCGGCCACACAGGUCAGCUGUGAAAACUCGAGGCUCAACCUCGAGACGUCGGUUGAAACCGUAUGGCUAGAGUACGGAAGAGGAGAGUGGAAUUCCCGGUGUAGCGGUGAAAUGCGCAGAUAUCGGGAAGAACACCCGUGGCGAAGGCGGCUCUCUGGGACGGUACUGACGCUGAGACGCGAAAGCGUGGGGAGCGAACAGG
RNAcentral lists this ribosomal RNA (253 nucleotides) under uncultured bacterium. Its description in RNAcentral is "partial 16S ribosomal RNA". It matches the Rfam family "Bacterial small subunit ribosomal RNA", at positions 524 to 776 of the family's 1533-position model. The record is from RNAcentral.